CUCGUAGGCGGUCUGUCGCGUCUGCUGUGGAAACGCAAGGCUCAACCUUGCGCGUGCAGUGGGUACGGGCGGACUAGAGUGCAGUAGGGGAGUCUGGAAUUCCUGGUGUAGCGGUGAAAUGCGCAGAUAUCAGGAGGAACACCGGUGGCGAAGGCGGGACUCUGGGCUGUUACUGACGCUGAGGAGCGAAAGCAUGGGGAGCGAACAGGAUUAGAUACCCCCGUA
This 225-nucleotide ribosomal RNA is filed under the name uncultured Brevibacterium sp. RNAcentral's name for it is "partial 16S ribosomal RNA". It matches the Rfam family "Bacterial small subunit ribosomal RNA", at positions 568 to 792 of the family's 1533-position model. The record is from RNAcentral. Lineage: Bacteria; Bacillati; Actinomycetota; Actinomycetes; Micrococcales; Brevibacteriaceae.